AUUAUAUAGGAUAACACCCUGAACGCGCCCGAUCUCAUCUGAUCUCGGAAGAUAAGCUGGGUCGGGCCUGGUUAGUACUUGGAUGGGAAAAAGAGAUACUCAGAAUAACA
Molecule: ribosomal RNA, 110 nt
Organism: Myotis lucifugus (little brown bat)
Lineage: Eukaryota; Metazoa; Chordata; Mammalia; Chiroptera; Vespertilionidae
Source: Ensembl